GUGGCGGUGAAGUCAAAAGCAGUAGACUCAUUGUCUGAGUCAGUAUUGUGUAUUGAUGCUGUUCAAUAAAGGAUGUAAAUAGUGAUAGUAGUUACAGUCGUUGUUAAUUGAAUUCCUGCAAUGUCCUCGGCUUUAGGUGGCCCUGGAAUGUCCCACCGUGGGGCCAGGCCUGAGGAUGGUGUACGUGAUAUGAUUAUUAUUAGUGAUAUUGAUGAAAAUGGGAUUAAUAUCAAUUUAAAGACAAGAUACAAAGAAGAUAAAAUAUAUACUUUUACAGGGUCUAUAUUGGUAGCAGUUAACCCAUAUAAACAGUUGUUAAUAUAUGAACAGAAAGACAUAGAAGAAUAUAGUGGAAAGAAAAUAAGCCAAGUGGAACCACAUGUAUUUGCUGUUAGUGAAGAAGCCUUCCAGAACUUGAAGAACUCUGGUGUGAACCAGUCAUGUAUCAUAAGUGGUGAAAGUGGAGCUGGAAAAACAGAGACCACAAAGUUUAUACUACAGUAUCUAUGUUCUGUAACAAACCAUACAUCGUUCUGGGUGGAGCAGCAAAUUCUUGAAGCCAAUACAGUUCUAGAAGCUUUUGGUAAUGCCAAAACAGUAAGAAAUGACAACUCUAGUCGUUUUGGAAAAUUUAUGCAAGUGUGUUUUGAUGAUUCUUCACAAAUUAAAGGAUGUAUUGUACAAGACUACUUACUGGAACAGUCCAGGAUUACAUUCCAAUCCAAAAAUGAACGCAACUACCAUGUCUUUUAUCAGUUUAUUGCUGGUGCUGAUGCAAGUGCUGAAUUCAGGGAACAGUUUUUUGUUCAGCCUAUAAAUACUUAUUUUUAUUUAAACCAGAGUGGAUGUACAACUUUAAAUGGCGUUAAUGAUACAAAAAUGUUUGAUAGAUUACGAUUAGCUAUGAAUGUGUUAAAAAUUCCAGAUCAGAUGGUGGAUGGAAUAUUUUCUGUGAUUUCCGCAAUAUUGCAUUUAGGUAAUUUGACGUUUGAAGAUGUAGAAGGAGAAAAAAGUGAUUUGACAUCAAAGGAUAAGGAGAUAUUAGACAUGAUUUGUAUGUUAUUAGGAUUUGAAGCAGAACCAUUAACAGAUUCUCUUUUAUAUAGACAAAUUCAGGUUCGGGGAACAGUCACAAGCAUUCCAUUUAAAGUGCAAGAGGCAAGUGAAAAUCGACAUGCCAUGGCCAAAGCCUUAUACUCCAGAUCAUUUGCAUGGCUUGUAGAUGCUAUCAAUAAAUGUACGAAUCCAGGGCAACAUGAAUCAAGAUUUUUAGGAGUUUUGGAUAUAUUUGGAUUUGAGAACUUUGAGAUAAACAGUUUUGAACAGCUCUGCAUUAACUAUACCAACGAAAAGUUGCACAGAUUCUUCAAUCAUUAUGUAUUUGCUAUAGAACAGGAAAUAUAUAAAGAAGAAGAAAUAGAGUUUGCACACAUCACAUUCACUGAUAAUUCACCAUGUUUAGAGCUCAUCGAAAAGUCCCCAAGAUGUAUCUUAAAAAGUGUAGAUGAAGAAUGUAGAUUUCCUCAGGGUACUGACAAAUCCUAUAUAACAAAGCAACAUGAAGCUUUUGAGAGCCAUCCUUGCUAUAUAAAAGGAGACAGGAGGAUGUGGGAAGUAGAGUUUGGUAUACAACAUUAUGCUGGUGCUGUUACAUAUAAAGUCCAGGGCUUCCUUGAUAAAAACAAAGACACACAACAAGACAUGCUGUUUGAAAUGAUGCAUAAUUCUGUUAAUGUUUUUGUUCAAGAUUUAACCAGAUUUCAGGAUUUACUUGGAGUUAAAUUAGAAGAUAUGGGAGGAAGACAAACUAUUUCUAGGACAACCAGUAAAAAACCAACUGUUGGUGAUACAUUUAAACAUCAGUUGAAUGCUCUUGUUGAUAUUCUGACCACUACAAAUCCUUGGUAUGUGAGGUGCCUUAAAUCUAACACAGACAAAAAAGCCAAUGUAUAUAAUGACAAAGAGGUCCUUACUCAGCUGAGCUAUUCUGGAAUGUUGGAUAUUAUAAGGAUCAAAAGAGAGGGAUAUCCUAUCCAUGUGCCUCAUGAAAACUUCCUAGAGAAAUACAAGUGUUUAACACCAAACUUGAAUCCUGGAGAUGAACCAAAAACUCUCUCAAAAAAAAUAUUAAGCUUAUUAGAUCUUCCAAAAACAGAAUGGCAAGUUGGAAAAAAUAAGAUUUUCAUGAGGAACUCAGUAUUUGAACCACUGGAAGAGAGAAGAUUUGUUUUCGUGACACAAAAAGCUAUCCUUAUCCAGAGGAGAUGGAAGGGAUUUGCUUGUAGACAUAAAUUCCUAAGAAUGAGAGAAGCAGUAAUGAUAUUACAAGCAUACUUCAGAGCCUGCAGAUCUAGGUUACUGUUUAAGAGACAGAGAAGAUCUGCUGUUGUUAUACAGCGUCAUGUAAGAGGAUUCCUUGCAAGAAAGUUGGCUGCUCGUUUGAAAGAACAGAAGAGGAAAGAAGAAGAACGAAAACGAAAAGAAGAAAUGGAAAGAGAAAAACGAGAUAGGGAGAAAGAAGCUGCAGAUAAUGAAGCUAUUGAAAAUAUGAUCAAUUUCAGUAAUUUGACCAGAUCAGAAUUAAUCAGACAACUAAAAUCAUCUCAGGCAGAGUUAGAUUCCUUGACCAACCUUAUUGGUUCUAUGUGGACACAGUACAAGCCACAUGCCUCUCCAACUAACCUCGAUCUUGAUGAUAUGUUUAGUUUUCUUGUACAGGAAGAAAACAACUUGAACUCAGCCAAAUCAUCAAAUCAAGUACUAGACGAUAUUUACAAACAGUUUGAGGAUUUAGGAGACAAACUAGAGGAAGAUAUGGAAACUGAAGAUGUACUCAAUGACCUUGACAGAUCAAUUGAGGAAGGAGAAGACCCAUUACCUCCACCACCAAUGAUGAAUGCAUCUAGUGAAGGUUUGGAUGAAAAUGUACCAUUACCACCCCCACCACCUCCAGGCAGUGUGGAUAAGUCAUCACCACCAAGACCACCAUCAGCUUCUCUGAAGCCAGCUCAUCCUCCUAACUCAGAUUCUUAUGAUGAAAACAUGGCAGAAAUUGCAGGCAUAGAGGAUUUCUUAGACCAGUUUGAGACUGCAGCAGAUGAACUGAUGGGAUCAAAUACAGGAGUCCCACCACCACCUCCUCCUCCUGGUGGGGCAGGAAUACCUCCACCACCUCCUCCUCCACCAGGUCCUGGGGGAGUACCACCACCUCCUCCACCCCCAGGGGCUGGAAAUGUAAAUCGCCCACUACCACCAAGACCAACCUCAGUGGCUGUUCCACCAGUACUUCCACCUCCGCCAACAAUCCCAGCUCCUCCACUUCCAGAUCAUAUCAACCAAGAAUCAAAAACUCCAACUGCCAUUGAAUCUCUGUCACCAACCAUAGAGAAAAACUUACACAACUUAAUGAACUUUGAUAUGGAAUCACAACCAGAGAUGAAUGGUCAUGCAGUACCAGUUAAAGAUUUGGGAGAGGAUGAACAUGUUUAUUAUGAUAUGCUAGAGUAUGCUGAGAAGUACUUCAAUGAUCAUCCUAAGGAAGUGGGUGGGACUAUCAUGAAAAGUUUGAGAAAAAGGCCUGGAUCUGGAGAGAAGGGCUAUUUAACCAAGGAGGAAAUGCUGAAGUUUUGUAAGAAUGGAAAUAUACCAACAUCACAUGUACAUAUCCAUGACUUAGAGAGUGUACAUUUAGCCUGUACUUCAUUUAAGGAUAUAACUAAAUAUAUAAAGGAUGAGUCUAAAGACGAUGUUUUGAAAGUAGUUCAAAACUAUGUUGGUGCUGGAAUACAACAUGUAGAGUUACGAGAUGAGAUUUAUUGUCAGAUGAUUAGGCAGUGUACGGACUGCCCUGAACAAAAUUAUCAAGUCCAAGCUUGGUCACUAAUGUGUUUGAUUACAGCCUCAUUCUCGCCAAGUAAAAAUUUGCACAAGUACUUGCUGUCGUUUGUGAAGAAGAAUUGCAGUGAUAGUAUAAUAGGGAAGUAUUCUCUACAAUGUCAUAAACAUCUGACAAUGCCAAGAGCUAAAGCCAGAAAUCUGCCACCAUCUACAGCUGAAAUUAUGAGUAUGCAGAUGCUUAGCCCAUUGAUAUGUAAGGUAUAUUUUAUGGAUGGUAAGACCAAGGCUAUCAGUAUGAUGCCUAUAGAUACAGCAGCAGAGGUACUAGAUAGCGUGGCAAGGAAGAUAGGUUUACGAUCGGUAGAAGGAUGGGCUCUGUUUGAGAUGACAUCAGACUAUGAGAGAUAUAUCAGAGGUUAUGAAUAUAUUGCUGAUGUUUUGACACAAUGGGAAUUACAAGAAAGAAAAUCUGCUCAGUUAUCUAAGUAUGACACUGUAUCUAAGAAGGGACCAAAGAUGGCUCUAGGAGGAUCAGAUGCCAGACUAAUAUUCAGGAAGCGUGUGUAUAAACAUAUUAAAGACAUUCCAAAUGAUCCAGUUGAAUAUCAGCUACUGUAUGCUGAAUGUGUGGCUAAAGUGGUUAAGGAUGAAUUUCCAGUAUCAGAUAAGGUAGCAUUACAGUUAGCUGGUUUACAAGCUAGGGUGACCUUUGGACAGUACGAGGAAUGCAAAGAUUUUAGAUACAAAGAAGCAGAGCAGUUUUUAAGUAAGAGGAUAUUAGCUAUGCCUGGACGUGACUGGAAUGAAGAAGUUGCUGCAUCUCAUAGUCAUUAUGGUAAAGGAAAGACUGAACUAGAAGCACAAGUUUGGUAUUUAACAGCAGUGAGACAGUUUCCAUUGUAUGGAUGUACUUUGUUCCCCAUUGUUCAUAAAGGAUUGUGGUCACAUACAGGAGAUGCUUUAAUUGCUAUCAAUAUGGAUGGAAUUAAGUUUAUUAAAGCUAGAGACAAAAAUGUGAUAAAUCAGUUUAAUUAUACUGAAAUAGAGUCUAUAACAAUUGACCCUAAUGAUAAUUAUGUGACAUUAGAAUUGAAGAACACGGCUGAAGUUAACUGUCAACAGAGAUGUUUUAUGUUUGAGACAGAAUGUAAAGAAGAUAUAGGUUCUCUCAUUGCUAGUUAUUCUCCAAAUCAUGCCUCAUGGCUCAAUCCAGAAUAUGAAAGUCUGAAGAAGAAGUCUAAGAUGACAGAUGAAGAAAAACUAAAACUGUAUGAGGAAAUAGUUCGGUGUAGAAGAGCUUUAUCUGAUAGUCGUUUACUACAGAAACCAUCUGGUCAUGGAAAUCCUGGCUUCCUUAGACAGUCUAUUAGAAGGUUGAAUUGUAUGGCUGGUAUAUUUAGACUUACAAAAUCUAAGAUGGAGAGAAUUAGGAAAUCAACUAUUGGAGGUGGGAGUGGGAACUUUGAUGAUAGUUACUGGUCUUACAGUAAAUCUUGUAUAAAACAUCCACUGACUGUUUCUUUGACUGAUCCACAGAUGGAAGAGAAAGCUAUCAGAAUGUUCCAUUGUAUACUAAUGUAUUGUGGGGUAGAGGAGGCAGGUAAAGGUGAUGAGAAGCCAGACUUGAUGAGCUUAGUACAGAAUUUAAUGAACACAUGUCUGGACAAUGAUCAGCUGUGUAAUGAAUUCUAUCUACAGCUAGCCAAACAGACCACAGACCAUCCUGAUCCUAACAGUCAAGUUAACAAGAGGAACUGGCAGUUAAUGGCAGUAACCACAAGUUGUACUUUCCCUUCCAAUACACGUGUACAAAAGUAUAUACAGUGUCAUCUAAGGAAAUGUUCUUUAGAUGCUGCUAGUGAGGAAGGACGAUACGCAAGGUUUUGUCACAAGUGCUUCAACAGAACAUUGGAACAUAGGAAGAGAAAGUUCCCACCAUCUAGGAAGGAAAUUAAAUGUCUUAUAGAUAGGCGACAGAUAUAUGACAGAGUAUAUUUUAUGAAUGGUGAGAACAGGAGUAUAGAAUUUGAUUCUGCUGCUACUUGUGAAGAGGUUAUAAAAACAGUAAAAGCUAAGAUUGGAAUGAGGUCUGAUGCAGAUUGUUUUGCUCUCUAUGAACAGAUUGGUGGGUCUGACUUGUAUGAUAUCAAAGAACGGUGUAUGAAUUUGGAUGAGAAAUUAUCAGAUACCCUAAGUAAAUGGGAAAGACUUUCCAGAGGUGCUGUUAGGGAUAAUAGAUUAAUUUUCAAGAAACGAUUGUUUAUUUCUCCCUACAUAAAUCCACUAGACCCAGUGGAAUGUGAUCUUGUCUUCCAUCAACUUAUAGAAGAUAUGUUUGAACAGAGAGUACCACUUACUGUAGAGGAUGCUGUUCAUCUGUGUGCCUUAAAGAUUCAAUCUGAGAUGGACGAACUGAAGACGGCAGAUAUAGACUACAGUUCUGUAGUAAGAAUUUUACCCCGUAGCAUGAGGGCCAAUAUAAAAGUAGAAGAUAUAGUUGCAGCUCACCAAAAUCUUCUAGAUAUGACACCAAACCAGGCAAUCCUCACCUUUAUAGAAAUGCUCAAAUCAUGGCCAUUGUUUGGAUCAACAUUAUUUGAAGUUUCACAAUCUUAUACAACAUCACUACCAAAGUUACUGUUCCUAGCAAUCAACCAGAAAGGUGUGUCGUUACUGGAGUUGAAAACAUUCGAAAUAUUAGACGCCCACGAUUUCACUGCAGUCGUCCAUUCCAGUCCAGCUAUAAAAAGUAUUAUGAUUGUAGUAGGUCACAUGGCAACAGGAUCAAAGUACAUGUUUAAUUCAAAUCAGGCUUAUGAGAUAGCACAUCUAAUCAAAGACUACAUAGAUGAAUUACAAGCUAGAUGUGUUAUACCACGGGCUCGACCAGAAAGUCUAUACCAAAGUAAUCGUGUGUCUUCUGUUUACAUUGAUGACCAUACAUUUGAAACAUUACAAACACUUGUGUAAUACUUUAUAUAGAUAUAUACAACCUUAAUAUACAAGAUUAGUAAAAGCAGCAGUAUUUAAUCAUAAUGGCAGAUCAGCUUUUGUAAUCAAAUAUCAAGUGUAUUUUGGCUUCCAAGCUUUGAAUUUUAAAAGGCAUAGUUUUUUCAAAAAUUGCUAAUAAAUUAUAGUAGGAGAAAAAAAGUUAAUAUAUUGACCAGUCUGAAAAUUGUACGAGGACCCUUACUGAAAUAAAUAGGGAGUAAUAUGGUUUUAUACCAAGAUAUUUAUUUGAGUUUAUUGAUCAAAUGUAUAAAUUAUGUUAAACUAUUUGUCUAGUUUUGUAAAAGAAAUACUCUAGACUAUAAACAAAGUGCAAUAUUUUACUUUCUAAGUCAUUUCUAAUGAAAAUUUGUGAUGACUUUUGUUUUCUAUACAGUGAAAUCUGUUUAAACUAAGAUUGAGAUAUAUUGAAAUAAUUAAAGUUACAUUUUGAUGUCAUUAAUUGUCAUAUUGGUGUAAUAUUAAAUAAAUACUUUAUUUGAAUUAAGAGAAGAAGAAAGGAACAUUCUACAUCUUAUUGCUAAAAAAGAAAGCAUGUAGUAUACCAUUUUAAUACAAAAAAGAAAUGAUAUAUUUUUCAGCUGUUGUGUAUAUUGGAGAAAAGUAUUCUUAGUGCCUUCUAAAUUCAUGCUAUAAAGUAUUUAAUAGAUUAAUGGGUAUUUGCUUAGAAUUGACUAAAGCUUUCAUAGAUAUCAUUCAGGUAUAUUUUCCUUUUCCUUUUUUAUACAACACUAUUGUUUUUGUUUUUUUAUAUACCAUAUACUUCAUUUUGAACAAUAGGCAGAAUUCCUAAAAUUUUGAACGGAAAUGAUGAUUUUUGCUUUCUUCACCUCCCUUUCUUUUCUAGCUGUUUUUUUCCACAGAUUGCUAAAGAUUCAAACUUCAUAUUUUCUAUGAAACAAGACCAAAGCAUCAUUUUCAUUGCAAUCAGCUGCUUAUGAUAAGAUUUUUUAUUUCUUAAAGGUAAAAAAAUCAUACUUGUGUCCACAGAUUAAGUUUAGCCUGCUUCCUAUCUCAACUUACAUCUAAAACUUACAAUGAGGGAUCAGCUGAGAACUUACAAUGAGGGAUCAGCUGAGAACUUACAAAAGAGGUGAUUUCAAUUUUCCCAUUGUGAAUGUUCCAUUUCUGUUCAACAAAAUUUCAGCAGUGCUUGUAAAUUGAUUUAAUAUCUCCCAGUUGAUAUUCAAGGGCUUGCAUUUUCUAUCAUAAUUUCCUUGAUAGAAGGUUGCUGCUAACAAACUAACUAUUUAACCAAAGAUUCCAAUUGGUUAGGUUUAAGUCCCUCCUUUGAAAGUUUUAUUGAUGCCAUCUUGUUUUGAUUGACCAUCAUGGAAUGAUCAUAGUUGCAGAUUACUACAGAUCUGUUCCACUUGUAACCAAAAUCUUUCUUUUUUUUCCAUGAUUGUGACAUCAUUAAAUGUGACUGGUCACUGAAUAAGUCUAUCCGUUUAACUACCAAGAAAUUCUUUAGUUUUUAUAUUAGAAUUUCUGCAUGUGCAAAUGAAAACUAAAAACAGUAUUUUCAGGCAUGGAGUUUAGAUAACAUUUUUGUAGGAGACUGAUAACCUUUUUAUACUGUUUUUUUUUUUUUAAAUCAGUCACGAAAAUUGUAUUGAAUUGGUGAUUUGAUAUCAUUUUAUUGUAUAUGAUUGUAUCAGCCUAUAGACGUAUUUACACUUGUAUGCAAAUUUGUCCGCCAUUACGUAAAAUCACACAGGUUCCCAUAAACUUUGCCAUCAUAAUUCAAAACAUUCGAUGUCACAAUUAAAAAGUGAUUGUUGCCUGACGUCAAAAGGUGAUUCGGAGUAGAUCCAAGGUCAUUUGGAGGCAAAAUAUAGCUUUAUACCAAAAGUGUAAAUACAUUUAUUGCAAGUCACUGAUCAUUUUUGUGAUUACUUUGAUGAAGUAUUUUAAGAACAAAAUCAACACAAAUUUGAUCAUUAAGUAUGGAAAUAAAAUAAGACAUUUGUUGGGCGUAGAAAUUUUCUGAUUUUUCCUUUGCUGGACAAAAGUGUCAUUUUAGGUUAUUAAUUAUUGUUUAUAUUGGUGGAUCUAUUAUAAUCUUCAAGAAUUUACUAAUGCACUGAAAAAAGAUUUGAAUUUUUACUUUUGAAUCAGUUUUUCCUAACGUGAUUAACAUUUAUUCAUCUCCUGCUGACAAAUGGAACUUAAUUAAACCCCCAUAUUCUGGUGUUUCAAGGUCAUAUGCAAUAAAAUUUCGACUGUUAGAGCUGUUUGAUUUCCUAAUGCACUUUUUAAAGGAUUAUAUAUAAGAUAUAUGUUCAACCAAAAAUUUUCAAGUUCUAGGAAUAAUAAGAAAAAUUAUUGAGGAAACAGUGAAAAUGAACUUCGUAAGUUCCCUGUAAUUACUCUUCUGUAUGAUGUCAUAUGUGCCGUGUGUUGACAACACGGAAUUGAAAUAACGGGUUUCCUCAUUUUUUAUUUUGAAUGAGAUUUAAGCAAGCAUGGUUAUAAUGACAUGAGUUGUUUUAUCAUACAGCACCAUCACACAUUAUGCCAUACAGUUAGACGGGUAUACAUGCACAUGUAAGGGACUUGAAACAAUGUGUUUACAGUAGUAGUGUAUACCAUACAAUUCACCUUUUUUGUUUGACUGUGCUUGGUUCUAAAUCACUGCAUGGAUUCAAAUUUCCAACUGAUUCCAUCUUUCAGGACUGAACAUGUAGAUAAUUUGAUCAUGGAAACUCUUUCUUUUCAACUGGCCUUUUACCCUUCACCACUCGAGGCAAAAUGUUUUCCCUAAAUGGAACAGAUCAAACCUGAAGUCAGCUGAUUGUGCUACUUUACAUCAACAAAUUCCAGGAGGGUCAUAUCUGACCUUAAUUAACACAGUGAUGGGGAGACGAGUGAUAAAAUUUUAUUGCAGACAUAUUUGUUAGGAAAUUUUCAAACAAGUUAAAAACUAAUAUGGAGAUGCACAAUUUAUAUUCCAUUGAUAUUUAUUUAAGUUUGUUUUUUACUUACCAGUUUUAAGUAGAUUAUAAAAAAAUGUUGCAUGUGACCUGUAAAAGGUGUUAGAAUUGAGUUCCAUUAAGUCGUGCUGUGGCAAGGUGAAGACUUCUCUUAAAAGGAGAAAAAAUAACAAAAACAGGUUUAAAAACUAUAUAUUUCAUACUUGUAUAUUUAUUUUGAACUAAUAUCUAGUCUACACAGGUUAACUAUUUAUUUUUGUACAAAAUUAUUCCACAUCUAUUGUCAAGUAAGUUAUCUUCUCUUUAUAUGGUGAUGUAUUUAUUUCCUGGUAACAGUCUGAUGCUAAGUGUAUUUAUUUAUGUGUAUGAAACAAAUUUUUGUACUCUAAUGUUUAAAUAUUUCAGAUUUUCAGAGGGAUCAUUUCUCAAAAUUUUCAAAAUCAGUCGCCAAAUUGAAUUUGUAUUAGCAUAGUGGGAUUUUGGUGGAUAAAGGCAUAGGUUGAUUUGAUAUCAUUUCCUUAAAAAAAAUACAACAUUAUCUGAAUCCAUUACUAUUUGGAAUUUAUUCUAAUUAUUACAUAAUUGAAAAAUAAAUUUUUCCAUUAAUAGAAAUAAUAGAAUUAUCUUGGAAAUAACAUGAAUCAACAAAUGAUGGAAGUUUUUGAAUCUUUAAUUCAAAAGAGGAUCCCAAGUAGGGAGAUUGUGAUUCAAUGGUGGUAGUUUGUAGCUGUCAGUCAUAUUUGUUUUUUGUUUAAUGAUUUAAGCAUAUAUCAGGCAAUUGGUUUUCUCUUCUGAAUUGUUUCACAUUUUGUCAGUCCAGAGCCUUUUUUUACAGCUUACUAUACAGUAUUGGUUUUGCUCAUUGUUGAAGGCCAUACAUAAGUUGUUUACAUCUCUGUUGGAUAAUUGUCUCAUUGUCAUUCAUACAAAAUCUGAUUAUUUUUUACAAUGGAGGAUUUUUGUCUUUUUUUUUUAACCAAAAAUAGUUUGCACUUCACAGUAAAAUUGUUUAAGGAAGUGUGGAAUUAGCAAAUAAUUAACAAUUAGGAAAUACUUUAAAUAAUUUAAUUAAAGUUUCCGUCUUUAUUGUUAUAUUUUUCAACAUUUAACCUUUUUUUAAUGAACCUAAAAUAAACUAUUUUCUGGUUGCCUUUUUUAGAUUCAUGACUAAUGUUUUAGACAAAUUUCGGUUAGAUAUGUUUUUGUUAUAUUUGUAUUGUUAUUUACCAAUAUGUAUGUAAUUAUUUAUUUAUGUGUUCUUUUUAUUACACAAUCUAUGCAAUUUUUAUGCAUAUUUAUCAAAAUUUUACACUUGCAUAAUUUUUUAAACUAGUUUCUUUGUUUUUUUUCAAAUUAGGGAUUUUGUCUGCAUAUCAGAAGAUUUCUUACAUAUAUUAUCAUUUAUUAUUUUUCAAAUAUUGAGGAGAUAUGUUUAUAUUUGGUUGAAUUCUUGUCAGUGAAAGGAAGAAUUACAGAUGAAUAUGAUAUUACAGUAGUUGACUCGAUACUCAAUUUGGAUUUGUAGAAAGAGAAUGAAGCAAGAAUUAUAUUUUACAUAUGUUUGAUCAUUUGAUUUCAUACUCACAUUUUAUUUGAAUUUGGCUCAUCAUGGUCAGUCUUCAAAAAAACUAACAUUUUAUAUAGUGAUGUAAAUGAUAAUGCAAUCUUAGAACUUCUUAAUCUUCAUUUAGAUACCCAUUGCAUGCUUCAGGGUUAUUAAGAGAUCUUCACUGUUUUUAUCAGAUUUUAAUUCUUUAAAAAAGACCAGUGGCGGAUCCAGAAACUUUCAAAAGGGGUGGGGGCCCACUGACUGCCUAAGAGGGGGCCCGCUCCAAUCAUGCUUCAGUGAUUCCCUAAAUAACCAACCAUAUUGUUCCCACAAAAGCCCCCCCCCCCCCCCCCUUAAACCUGCCUCUGAAGACUGACAUCUUUUCAGUUGUCACAAUACUUGAAUGAAGUGGUAAUGUAAAAUGAAUAAAACCCAUGACCUUUUUUAUAAAGUAUUAAUCAUAUACACAAGUUUAAGUGCUAAAUGAUUAAUUUUAAGUAUUAAGUAUACUUUGUCAACAUUUUGUAUAAUAAUCUCUAUACGCUUUGAAUCUCUUUCAUUUAUAGUGUACAAUGUGCAAUGUUUUACUAAUGUGAUGUAACAAUCUUGUCAAUAAAUUUAUUUUCAUAUA
RNA transcript from Mytilus californianus (California mussel), 11962 nucleotides. It is a transcript of the gene named myosin-VIIa-like, with no coding region annotated. NCBI's taxonomy places the organism in Eukaryota, Metazoa, Mollusca, Bivalvia, Mytilida, Mytilidae. The record is from RefSeq and is a predicted model, not a curated record. The transcript has 45 exons.